This is a small nuclear RNA of Callithrix jacchus (white-tufted-ear marmoset), 103 nucleotides long. NCBI's taxonomy places the organism in Eukaryota, Metazoa, Chordata, Mammalia, Primates, Cebidae. The record is from Ensembl.
UCGCUUUGGCAGCACACAGAAUAAAACUGGAAUGAUACACAGAAGAUCAGCAUGGUCCAUGCACAAGGGUGACAAGCAAGUUCGUGAAGCAUUCCAUAUUUUU